GACGAACGCUGGCGGCGUGCUUAACACAUGCAAGUCGAGCGGUAAGGCCCUUCGGGGUCCACGAGCGGCGAACGGGUGAGUAACACGUGAGUAAUCUGCCCAUCACUUCGGGAUAACUCCGGGAAACCGGUGCUAAUACCGAAUAUGACCACUUCAGGCAUCUGAUGGCGGUGGAAAGUUCCGGCGGUGAUGGAUGAGCUCGCGGCCUAUCAGCUUGUUGGUGGGGUAGUGGCCUACCAAGGCUUCGACGGGUAGCCGGCCUGAGAGGGUGACCGGCCACACUGGGACUGAGACACGGCCCAGACUCCUACGGGAGGCAGCAGUGGGGAAUAUUGGACAAUGGGCGAAAGCCUGAUCCAGCAACGCCGCGUGAGGGAUGACGGCCUUCGGGUUGUAAACCUCUUUCAGCAGGGACGAAGCGCAAGUGACGGUACCUGCAGAAGAAGCACCGGCCAACUACGUG
This 463-nucleotide ribosomal RNA is filed under the name uncultured bacterium. RNAcentral describes it as "partial 16S ribosomal RNA". It matches the Rfam family "Bacterial small subunit ribosomal RNA", at positions 28 to 507 of the family's 1533-position model. The record is from RNAcentral.